AGAGUUUGAUCAUGGCUCAGAAUGAACGUUGGCGGCGUGGAUUAGGCAUGCAAGUCGUACGCUUUAUGUAGCAAUACAUGAAGAGUGGCGAAAGGGAGAGUAAUGCAUGGUUAGCUACCCUCGGGACUGGGAUAGCGGCGGGAAACUGCCGGUAAUACCAGAUGACGUCUUCGGACCAAACGUGUAAACCGGCCCGAGGAGGCGACCAUGUCCUAUCAGCUAGUUGGCGGUGUAAUGGACCACCAAGGCAAAGACGGGUAUGGGGCGUGAGAGCGUGCCCCCACUCACUGGGACUGAGACACUGCCCAGACACCUACGGGUGGCUGCAGUCGAGAAUCUUCGGCAAUGGGCGCAAGCCUGACCGAGCGACGCCGCGUGCGGGAUGAAGGCCUUCGGGUUGUAAACCGCUGUCGUAGGGGAGGAAGGUCUGGUGUAGAGCCAGGCUUGACCGAUCCUAGGAGGAAGGGCCGGCUAAUCUCGUGCCAGCCGCCGCGGUAAUAC
RNAcentral lists this ribosomal RNA (501 nucleotides) under uncultured bacterium. RNAcentral's name for it is "bacterial SSU rRNA". It matches the Rfam family "Bacterial small subunit ribosomal RNA", at positions 8 to 526 of the family's 1533-position model. The record is from RNAcentral.